Molecule: ribosomal RNA, 388 nt
Filed under: uncultured bacterium
Lineage: Bacteria
Description: bacterial SSU rRNA
Rfam family: Bacterial small subunit ribosomal RNA
Source: RNAcentral
AUUGAACGCUGGCGGAAUGCUUUACACAUGCAAGUCGAACGGUAGAGGGGGCAACCCCUUGAGAGUGGCGAACGGGUGAGUAAUAUAUCGGAACGUGCCCAGUCGUGGGGAUAACGUAGCGAAAGUUACGCUAAUACCGCAUACGAUCUACGGAUGAAAGCGGGGGAUCGCAAGACCUCGCGCGAUUGGAGCGGCCGAUAUCAGAUUAGGUAGUUGGUGAGGUAAAGGCUCACCAAGCCGACGAUCUGUAGCUGGUCUGAGAGGACGACCAGCCACACUGGGACUGAGACACGGCCCAGACUCCUACGGGAGGCAGCAAUGGGGAAUUUUUGGACAAUGGGCGCAAGCCUGAUCCAGCAAUGCCGCGUGCAGGAUGAAGGCCUCGGUU